CCUACGGGUGGCAGCAGUGGGGGAUAUUGCACAAUGGGGGGAACCCUGAUGCAGCGACGCCGCGUGGGUGAAGAAGCGCCUAGGCGCGUAAAGCCCUGUCAGCAGGGAAGAAAAUGACGGUACCUGAAGAAGAAGCCCCGGCUAACUACGUGCCAGCAGCCGCGGUAAUACGUAGAGAGCGAGCGUUGUCCGGAAGUACUGGGUGUAAAGGGGGCGUAGGCGGGGAUGCAAGUUGGGUGUUAAAUCUACCGGCUCAACUGGUAGUCGCAGUCAAAACUGCAGCUCUUGAGUGGAGUAGAGGCAGGCGGAAUUCCUAGUGUAGCGGUGAAAUGCGUAGAUAUUAGGAGGAACACCAGUGGCGAAGGCGGCCUGCUGGGCUUUUACUGACGCUGAGGCUCGAAAGUGUGGGGAGCAAACAGGAUUAGAUACCCCAGUAGUC
RNAcentral lists this ribosomal RNA (439 nucleotides) under uncultured bacterium. RNAcentral's name for it is "partial 16S ribosomal RNA". It matches the Rfam family "Bacterial small subunit ribosomal RNA", at positions 338 to 795 of the family's 1533-position model. The record is from RNAcentral.